CUGGUCCAUCUUGGGAAAAGUCGUCUAUUCAGAUGCUAUCUUCUUCAAAUCCCAGGCAUUUUUAAUUUCAAUUUGUUGACAGGAAUGCAGGUCCACAAAGAAGCUGAUGUUUUCUGUAGAUGAGAUACCAGAAUCAUUCUUUAAAUAUGAGCCAUGUGUAAACAAAGACAAUGCAGCGUUGUCCAGGGAAUUUCCCUGUAGAUUCUCCCAUUGAGUUAAAAGAUCAGAGUUAAGCAGGCAUGUGGUGUCUCAUCUGAAA
This 259-nucleotide long non-coding RNA is filed under the name Homo sapiens (human). Its description in RNAcentral is "HSALNT0063667". The record is from RNAcentral. Lineage: Eukaryota; Metazoa; Chordata; Mammalia; Primates; Hominidae.